This 73-nucleotide transfer RNA is filed under the name Bacteroidales bacterium. RNAcentral's name for it is "tRNA-Gly". It matches the Rfam family "tRNA". From Rfam's summary of the family: Transfer RNA (tRNA) molecules are approximately 80 nucleotides in length. Lineage: Bacteria; Pseudomonadati; Bacteroidota; Bacteroidia; Bacteroidales. The record is from RNAcentral.
GCGGAAAUAGCUCAGUUGGUAGAGCGCAACCUUGCCAAGGUUGAGGUCGCGGGGCCGAAUCCCGUUUUCCGCU